This 200-nucleotide microRNA precursor is filed under the name Oryza barthii. RNAcentral's name for it is "MIR812 microRNA precursor family". It matches the Rfam family "MIR812 microRNA precursor family". The record is from Rfam by way of RNAcentral. Lineage: Eukaryota; Viridiplantae; Streptophyta; Magnoliopsida; Poales; Poaceae.
AAUAAGUGCAGCCGUGGAUAUUCGUGCCCAACGUUUGACCGUUCGUCUUAUUUGAAAUUUUUGUGAAAAAAUUGAAAAUAUUUAGUCACACAUAAAGUACUAUUCAUAUUUUAUCAUCUAAUAGCAAUAAAAAUACUAAUCAUAGAAAAAAAUUUUAAAUAGGACGAACGGUACGUGAAUAGUGCAAAACUGCAUUUAUU